RNAcentral lists this transfer RNA (69 nucleotides) under Iguana delicatissima. Its description in RNAcentral is "tRNA-Arg". Lineage: Eukaryota; Metazoa; Chordata; Lepidosauria; Squamata; Iguanidae. The record is from RNAcentral.
UAGGCGUUAAUCUAAAUAAGAUAGUUGAUUUCGACUCAACAAAUCUGGCCAAACACACCAGACGCCUAC